Molecule: ribosomal RNA, 734 nt
Filed under: uncultured organism
Description: bacterial SSU rRNA
Rfam family: Bacterial small subunit ribosomal RNA
Source: RNAcentral
CUCAGAACGAACGCUGGCGGCGUGGCUAAGACAUGCAAGUCGAACGGACCAUUAAUUUAUUAAUGGUUAGUGGCGAAAGGGUUAGUAAUGAAUAGGUAACGUACCUUGUGCUUCAGGAUAGCGUCAGUUGCUUCGGCAACUUUCCGAAAGGGGCGGUAAUACUGAAUAAUAUCACCUGUCGAUAGGCAGAUGAUCAAAGAUUUAUCGGCGUAAGAGCGGCCUAUUUCCUAUCAGCUUGUUGGUGAGGUAACAGCUCACCAAGGCUAAGACGGGUAGCGGGACUGAGAGGUUGACCCGCAACAUCGGGACUGAGACACUGCCCGGACCUCCACGGAGGGCUGCAGUAACGAAUAUUGCGCAAUGGGCGAAAGCCUGACGCAGCGACGCCGCGUGUAGGAGGAAGUCCUUCGGGAUGUAAACUACUGUCAGGGUGAAGAAAGUAUGCUCCGGCAUAUUGAUCUAACCCAGAGGAAGUCACGGCUAACUUCGUGCCAGCAGCCGCGGUAAGACGAAGGUGGCUAGCGUUGUUCGGUAUCACUGGGCUUAAAGCGUAUGCAGGCGGAAUAGUAAGCGUCAUGUGAAAUCCCUCAGCUUAACUGAGGAAUUGCAUGGCGAACUGCUGUUCUUGAGGCAAGUAGGGGUGCAUAGAACUCUUGGUGGAGCGGUGGAAUGCGUAGAUAUCAAGAGGAAUGCCGAUGGAGAAAUCAGUGCACUGGGCUUGUCCUGACGCUCAG